Homarus americanus (American lobster) is the source of this 119-nucleotide long non-coding RNA. RefSeq lists it as uncharacterized. NCBI's taxonomy places the organism in Eukaryota, Metazoa, Arthropoda, Malacostraca, Decapoda, Nephropidae. The record is from RefSeq and is a predicted model, not a curated record. The transcript has 3 exons.
AGCACCAUGAAAAACAAAUGGGGACUUCAAUCACACCUGCCCAGGGAAUUAAGGUGUGUCUCAAGAUGUCGAUGAACGGCUCCUAAAAAUAUAUCCAGGUUGAGGCGUCAGUAGAAGGU